AUUGAACGCUGGCGGCAUGCCUUACACAUGCAAGUCGAACGGCAGCACGGGUGCUUGCACCUGGUGGCGAGUGGCGAACGGGUGAGUAAUACAUCGGAACAUGUCCUGUAGUGGGGGAUAGCCCGGCGAAAGCCGGAUUAAUACCGCAUACGAUCUACGGAUGAAAGCGGGGGACCUUCGGGCCUCGCGCUAUAGGGUUGGCCGAUGGCUGAUUAGCUAGUUGGUGGGGUAAAGGCCUACCAAGGCGACGAUCAGUAGCUGGUCUGAGAGGACGACCAGCCACACUGGGACUGAGACACGGCCCAGACUCCUACGGGAGGCAGCAGUGGGGAAUUUUGGACAAUGGGCGAAAGCCUGAUCCAGCAAUGCCGCGUGUGUGAAGAAGGCCUUCGGGUUGUAAAGCACUUUUGUCCGGAAAGAAAUACUGGGCCCUAAUACGGUCGGGGGAUGACGGUACCGGAAGAAUAAGCACCGGCUAACUACGUG
RNAcentral lists this ribosomal RNA (486 nucleotides) under uncultured bacterium. RNAcentral's name for it is "partial 16S ribosomal RNA". It matches the Rfam family "Bacterial small subunit ribosomal RNA", at positions 30 to 507 of the family's 1533-position model. The record is from RNAcentral.